AUUGGGAAUAAGUUAAUGAAAAAUGUUCAUCCAAUUACUCAAAGAUUUGGCCCACUUUUGAAAAUUUAGUGCUCUGUAUACGCACGUCCUAUACUAACAACUUCCUAGUCCAAAGAAAGCAAUAAGUGAACUCCUGAAUGCAGAAUUGCAGAAGGCAAAUAACUGAGACUAUUCAGCUAGUUAAAGAACACAGUAAUCCAUUGGGGAUUGAGCAGUAAAGAAAAAGAAUAUAGAUGCAACAUUUACUUUUAUACCAAGAAAACUGAACACAAAGACCGUAAUAAAACAAUCAAAGCAAGGAAUUGAAGUUGACCAAAAGAAACAAAAUCUAAGAAAUGGACUGAUGAUUCUUUCAGAAUAGAUUUAUAAAGCAGUCUUAAAUUUAUACCACUAGCAGCAAAAGAAUCAAAAUUUAAGCAUUAACUUUCAUGCUGACUGCAGAAGUAACCAUCACAUCAAAGUCCUAUAUGUAAGCUAUAAGUCAGACUAUAUUACCUCCAAAAUGGUGCAAAACAAUGG
This 519-nucleotide unclassified non-coding RNA is filed under the name Hevea brasiliensis (rubber tree). Lineage: Eukaryota; Viridiplantae; Streptophyta; Magnoliopsida; Malpighiales; Euphorbiaceae. The record is from RNAcentral.